RNAcentral lists this unclassified non-coding RNA (1244 nucleotides) under Hevea brasiliensis (rubber tree). The record is from RNAcentral. Lineage: Eukaryota; Viridiplantae; Streptophyta; Magnoliopsida; Malpighiales; Euphorbiaceae.
AUAAAACAAGAACGAGACCAUGCUAAAAAACUGGACGAGAAUAGGAGGAGACUUAGAAGAGCAGCUGAGCGUCUCAGUGCCAGGAAAGAUGAUAUAGAGCAUGAAAUAAUGAAUAAAAGAAUCACGAAGACGACAACUCGUGAAUGGGAAGCUUGGGUUAAUGGUGUGGAAGAGAUCGGAGAAGAGGUGAAGAUUCUUGAGGCCAAAUAUAGAAAAUCCCGUAGAUUCCAUUAUAUAACGUGCGCUUUUCAGUCACGUGCAAAACUCAGCAGAGACAUGGAGACCAAGGCCGAGGAAAUCGAUUCUUUCACAAACCAAAUGAGUUCUGAUAAGGCAAUGGUUGACAGAGAACCAGUAGCGCCUGCGAGCCAUUCCUUUCGAAAGAAGGAGGAAUUGUCAUGGGUUAAGAACAACGUGGACAGGAUCUUGGAUUCCCUUGGUCAGGAGAAAAUGAAGAAAAUUGGGGUAUUCGCAUUUGCAGGGAUGGGCAAAAGUACUAUUUUUGAGAGCUUAUAUGAUAGGUCCCGCGAAAGUGGCUUGUUCCACCAUGUCAUUUUUGUAAAAGUUGAAGAGAAUGAUAGAGAGGAAAAGAUACGGCAAAGCAUUUUGGAGCAGUUGAACUUGAAACUGAAUGUGGGGGAAAUCAGAACCGCACAUCGAAUUGCACAUACAAUAUCUACUGCUCUGCACAACAGGAAGUAUUUGCUGAUGCUUGAUCAAGUUUCCGAGGAAAUUGAUCUGAAGGAAUUGGGAAUUUAUGACAGCCAUAGUGAUGGAAAAGUGGUGGUGGCUACAAGAUACAAAUCAGUUUGUGACAAUAUGAAUAUGAAUGAUUCCUGGGAACUAGAACAUAUGUCUGAAAGAGACGCAUUGGUGUUGUUCCGGCAAAUUGCAGGUGAAGCUGCAGAUUAUGAGCGCAAUAAACAUGAAGCCAAGCGGAUUGUGAAAGAGUGUGGAGGGAUGCCAGUGUUGAUAAAUGCUGUAGCUACAUAUUUGAAAAGUGAAGAAAAUGACGAGGUAUGGUCAGAUUGUUUGUGGAAGUUGCAGUCAUCCACAUAUGAUGAUGAUCUCGGACCGUUUGGUGAAUCAUAUAAUGUCUUCAAACUUGUCUACGAUGGAUUAAAUGAUUACAGGAAAAAAUGCUUCUUGUACGGGGCUCUGUAUCCCCUAGAUCAUCAGAUCUAUGAGGAUCAUUUGAUAGAGUGCUGGAGGGCUGAACAGUUUGUUCCUGCUACUGAAGGGAG